CAACUUCCGGUGCACAGUUUUGAAUCUUCGUUGGUCGCUAUACGAGACGUGGACCCAAAGCAAAAGUACAUCAUCUUCAAAGAGACAGAGAAAGGGACCAUGGAUGACGACAAUCACAGAUUAUUUCAAAGAGUUGCAGAGAAACUUGGCUGGUCAGAGAAGGGAGGGUUGGAAACAGUAGAACAACAGCUGAUUAAGAGCAUCAGUAAGACUCGGCGUCCGGCCAUAGGCGGUCAUGGCUCCAGGGGUGCUCAAGACCUUCCUCCCCCAGUCCGGCUACUUCUGCCAGACAGUGAGGAAGAGGAUGACGGAGGCUCAGGGAAAGAGAACCAGGUCUCAAAGGGCAACAGUUACAGGACCAAGGUGUUCAUGGAGUCCAGUGACGAUGAUUUCGACCAGUUUCUUGUGGAGCAGGCGACACCCAAAGCUGCUUCUCGGAAACAUUGCACUGCUGCUAAGAAAGUCAGUGAACCAGUCCUUGUAUUAAGCUCAGAAAGUGACGACAGCUUUGAAAACUUCCUGAGCCGUGUGAAAACUCCCAAGCCUAAGCCCAAGGAAGCAGAGCGUGGCAGGGAAGACUGCCUCAGAAACUUCAUUGUCGACAGCUUUUCCUCCGAUGAUGACUUUGUCGUCGAGAAGAAAAAACCAUCUACCUCCAAAGGUGCCUUUAACACCCCCAAGCUGUCCUCCUCCCAGCUCCCAGUCAGAAGACCCCUGUCCCAGUGUGACUCCCCAGUUUUCCUCAGUGACAGUGAAGAAGAAGAUGGUAUCGUGAUGAAGAGCACAUGGAGGACGCGCCAACCUGUGCACCAGCCGCCGCCGUCACAGAAGCUCAAAGUCCUGCAAAGUAACCAGAAGUCCUGCAAAGUAACCAACGUCUUCUUUCCCUCUCCCGCCCCUCCUCCUCUGCCCUCCCCUCUCCCAGCUCUCCUCCUCCCCCCUCUCCUCCUUCACCCCCUCCCCGGCAUCCGUUCCACAGCGGACCCACUCAGCCCCGUCGAAGCUGGAGGACUCAGCCAGCUCAGAGGAAGAGUUCCUCAGCUUACUGGACAGAAUUAAGAAGAACCACAAGACCGGCAACACCCCAACACCUAAACGUAACACAGUGCCCAAUCAGAAGCCCCCCCUGUCAGCUCCACGGCCCAAAGCCUCGAAAGAGGCGGGCCCUCGGCCGGUAGGGAGAACACCAUUGGCUCUGAAGACCCCGGUGCGGCCGCUCGUCACUAAACCCACAGUGUCCCAGACGGAAACCAGACUCCAGACCAGCAGCCUUUCCUCCUCCAGAGUGUCAGCAGUGUGUAUGACUCCAGGAUGUUUCCUCCAGUCUCUGUCUGGACCAGGCUCCAGCUACAGCCGCAACUUCAAACAGACCAAGGAGGAGCUCACCAGCAAACUGUACUGCCUGUACAACACCAGCGUGUUCGACAGCAAGCUGCCCAGUAACAUGUCAGUGAGCUGGAAUAAGAAGAUGAGGAAGACUGCUGGCUACUGCAUCACAGGGCAGGAGAGAGGAGGAGGGAACCGAUACGCCCGCAUCCAACUCUCUGAGAAGGUCUGUGACUCUGCAGACCGUCUGCGUGACACGUUGGUCCAUGAGAUGUGCCACGCUGCCACCUGGUUGAUCAACAGUGUGAGGGAUGGGCACGGCCCCUUCUGGAAGCUGUACGCCCGCAAGGCCACGCUGGCACACCCCGAGCUGCCCACGGUCACCCGCUGCCACAGCUACGACAUUAACUACAAGUACCAGUACCAGUGCAGCCGCUGCAAAAACACGCUCGGUCGCCACUCUAAGUCUCUGGAUACCCAGAGGUUUGUGUGUGCCCUCUGUACGGGUCAGCUGGUCCUGCUCACCCCCGCCAAGCCCCGGGCGCCCACGCCCUUCGCCAACUUCGUCAAGGAGAACUAUGGGAGCGUUCGCCAGGACCUGGUGGGUCAGAGCCACGGUGACGUGAUGAGGAAACUCAGUGUUGACUUCGCCACCAAGACCAAACUCAGCCAGAGCUGAGAGGGAGAAAGAGCGGGAUCAGCUCUCCCUGUAUUUCAAAAACUGUAUCCUUGGCUUGAAGAUUUCCACUGCUCUGAUUUUGAAGCAAUGGUGGGAUCCUUUUCUUUUAACCAUCCUAAUGUGUUAGAUUAGUGGGAUCCUUCUCUUUCAACCAUCCUAAUGUGUUAGAUUAGUGGGAUCCUUCUCUUUCAACCAUCCUAAUGUGUUAGAUUAGUGGGGGGAUCCUUCUCUUUUAACCAUCCUAAUGUGUUAGAUUAGUGGGAUCCUUCUCUUUCAACCAUCCUAAUGUGUUAGAUUAGUGGGAUCCUUCUCUUUCAACCAUCCUAAUGUGUUAGAUUAGUGGGAUCCUUCUCUUUUAACCAUCCUAAUGUGUUAGAUUAGUGGGAUCCUUCUCUUUCAACCAUCCUAAUGUGUUAGAUUAGUGGGAUCCUUCUCUUUCAACCAUCCUAAUGUGUUAGAUUAGUGGGAUUCUUCUCUUUCAACCAUCCUAAUGUGUUAGAUUAGUGGGAUUCUUCUCUUUUAACCAUCCUAAUGUGUAGUGGGAUCUUCAAGUUGAUAUGUCUGUCUUAAAUAGCUCUGUGUAUGUAUCAGGUUUUCAGAGGCAGCUAUAGUGAGUCUGUUGUCAUUCCUUACGUCUCUAACUGGAGUCUCACCAUUACAGUGAAAUGAGCCAAGAGACACACUGAACAGUGACUAAAGGCAACGUGAAUCAGUCAUAUAUUGUUGUCAAGCCUGCCUGUGACAUGGAUUCAUACCUUUCAAAUAUCAUUUUGUGACCAACUGUUUUGAAUUACUUGAAAUAUUAAUUGGUGAAAAUUGUUCUAUGAAAUUUCAUAUGGUUCAUAACAGGCAGAUGUGGCAGCUUCGCAUACAAUUUUAGGUUACAUUUUCAACGUUUGUCUUAAUAAUAUAUAUUUGUUGUUGUUGAUGUUUUGUUGAUGAAAACGUUAUUAUUUUUCAAUAAAGAUUUGAUGUUUUACA
Molecule: RNA transcript, 2986 nt
Organism: Coregonus clupeaformis (lake whitefish)
Lineage: Eukaryota; Metazoa; Chordata; Actinopteri; Salmoniformes; Salmonidae
Exons: 13
Source: RefSeq, a predicted model, not a curated record